UACGGAGGGAGCUAGCGUUGUUCGGAAUUACUGGGCGUAAAGCGCACGUAGGCGGCGAUUCAAGUCAGAGGUGAAAGCCCGGGGCUCAACCCCGGAACUGCCUUUGAAACUAGAUCGCUAGAAUCCUGGAGAGGCGGGUGGAAUUCCGAGUGUAGAGGUGAAAUUCGUAGAUAUUCGGAAGAACACCAGUGGCGAAGGCGGCCCGCUGGACAGGUAUUGACGCUGAGGUGCGAAAGCGUGGGGAGCAAACAGG
RNAcentral lists this ribosomal RNA (253 nucleotides) under uncultured bacterium. Its description in RNAcentral is "partial 16S ribosomal RNA". It matches the Rfam family "Bacterial small subunit ribosomal RNA", at positions 524 to 776 of the family's 1533-position model. The record is from RNAcentral.